GUGAGAAGGCCGGGGAGGCAGGCCCUGCUGUCUUCCUGCAGGCCGGCAGCCUGCUGGCAGUGGAGGACCAGGCCGUCCAGGAAAGGAAGGGGUCAGGAGGUCGGGCAGGGCCUCAGCAGCUGUUAGCCGAGCAAGCAUGAAGAAUCGAGAGGAAAGAUCCCAGCAUUUUUUCGACACAUCAGUACCACUAAUGGAUGAUGGAGACGAUAACACUCUUUACCAUCGGGGUUUUACAGAGGACCAGUUAGUUCUGGUGGAGCAGAACACACUGAUGGUGGAAGAGCGGGAACGAGAGAUUCGCCAGAUUGUACAGUCCAUUUCUGACCUGAAUGAAAUAUUCAGGGACUUAGGAGCGAUGAUUGUAGAACAGGGUACAGUCCUUGACAGAAUUGACUAUAACGUUGAACAGUCCUGUAUCAAAACUGAAGAUGGUUUGAAACAGCUUCACAAGGCAGAACAGUAUCAAAAGAAGAAUCGGAAGAUGCUUGUGAUUUUAAUAUUAUUUGUCAUCAUCAUUGUGCUCAUUGUUGUCCUCGUUGGCGUGAAGUCUCGAUAAGUGGCAUUGGGUUUUCGUGUGUGCCGCGCGUGUGGAUCUCCCGGGUGUGAGGGGCUUGGCCUGCGCCCCGCCAGCUGCCCGCAGAGGUGCAGCCUCGAGGAAUCU
Molecule: small RNA, 661 nt
Filed under: Pan troglodytes (chimpanzee)
Lineage: Eukaryota; Metazoa; Chordata; Mammalia; Primates; Hominidae
Description: processed transcript
Source: RNAcentral